Molecule: ribosomal RNA, 247 nt
Filed under: uncultured Microbacteriaceae bacterium
Lineage: Bacteria; Bacillati; Actinomycetota; Actinomycetes; Micrococcales; Microbacteriaceae
Description: partial 16S ribosomal RNA
Rfam family: Bacterial small subunit ribosomal RNA
Source: RNAcentral
CACGCCGUAAACGUUGGGAACUAGAUGUGGGGGCCAUUCCACGGCUUCCGUGUCGCAGCUAACGCAUUAAGUUCCCCGCCUGGGGAGUACGGCCGCAAGGCUAAAACUCAAAGGAAUUGACGGGGGCCCGCACAAGCGGCGGAGCAUGCGGAUUAAUUCGAUGCAACGCGAAGAACCUUACCAAGGCUUGACAUAUACGAGAACGCUGCAGAAAUGUAGAACUCUUUGGACACUCGUAUACAGGUGG